RNAcentral lists this ribosomal RNA (497 nucleotides) under uncultured bacterium. Its description in RNAcentral is "partial 16S ribosomal RNA". It matches the Rfam family "Bacterial small subunit ribosomal RNA", at positions 28 to 507 of the family's 1533-position model. The record is from RNAcentral.
GAUGAACGCUGGCGGCGUGCCUAAUGCAUGCAAGUCGAGCGAACAGACGAGGAGCUUGCUCCUUUGACGUUAGCGGCGGACGGGUGAGUAACACGUGGGUAACCUACCUAUAAGACUGGGAUAACUUCGGGAAACCGGAGCUAAUACCGGAUAAUAUUUCGAACCGCAUGGUUCGAUAGUGAAAGAUGGCUUUGCUAUCACUUAUAGAUGGACCUGCGCCGUAUUAGCUAGUUGGUAAGGUAACGGCUUACCAAGGCAACGAUACGUAGCCGACCUGAGAGGGUGAUCGGCCACACUGGAACUGAGACACGGUCCAGACUCCUACGGGAGGCAGCAGUAGGGAAUCUUCCGCAAUGGGCGAAAGCCUGACGGAGCAACGCCGCGUGAGUGAUGAAGGUCUUCGGAUCGUAAAACUCUGUUAUUAGGGAAGAAUAAACGUGUAAGUAACUGUGCACGUCUUGACGGUACCUAAUCAGAAAGCCACGGCUAACUACGUG